Molecule: ribosomal RNA, 804 nt
Filed under: Halomonas sp. M6-24B
Lineage: Bacteria; Pseudomonadati; Pseudomonadota; Gammaproteobacteria; Oceanospirillales; Halomonadaceae
Description: bacterial SSU rRNA
Rfam family: Bacterial small subunit ribosomal RNA
Source: RNAcentral
AACAGAUCUAGCUUGCUAGAUGCUGACGAGCGGCGGACGGGUGAGUAAUGCAUAGGAAUCUGCCCGAUAGUGGGGGAUAACCUGGGGAAACCCAGGCUAAUACCGCAUACGUCCUACGGGAGAAAGGGGGCUUCGGCUCCCGCUAUUGGAUGAGCCUAUGUCGGAUUAGCUAGUUGGUGAGGUAAAGGCUCACCAAGGCUGCGAUCCGUAGCUGGUCUGAGAGGAUGAUCAGCCACAUCGGGACUGAGACACGGCCCGAACUCCUACGGGAGGCAGCAGUGGGGAAUAUUGGACAAUGGGGGCAACCCUGAUCCAGCCAUGCCGCGUGUGUGAAGAAGGCCCUCGGGUUGUAAAGCACUUUCAGCGAGGAAGAACGCCUAGCGGUUAAUACCCGUUAGGAAAGACAUCACUCGCAGAAGAAGCACCGGCUAACUCCGUGCCAGCAGCCGCGGUAAUACGGAGGGUGCAAGCGUUAAUCGGAAUUACUGGGCGUAAAGCGCGCGUAGGUGGCUUGAUAAGCCGGUUGUGAAAGCCCCGGGCUCAACCUGGGAACGGCAUCCGGAACUGUCAGGCUAGAGUGCAGGAGAGGAAGGUAGAAUUCCCGGUGUAGCGGUGAAAUGCGUAGAGAUCGGGAGGAAUACCAGUGGCGAAGGCGGCCUUCUGGACUGACACUGACACUGAGGUGCGAAAGCGUGGGUAGCAAACAGGAUUAGAUACCCUGGUAGUCCACGCCGUAAACGAUGUCGACCAGCCGUUGGGUGCCUAGCGCACUUUGUGGCGAAGUUAACGCGAUAAGUCGACCGC